GACGAACGCUGGCGGCGUGCCUAAUACAUGCAAGUAGAACGCUGAAGAGAGGAGCUUGCUCUUCUUGGAUGAGUUGCGAACGGGUGAGUAACGCGUAGGUAACCUGCCUUGUAGCGGGGGAUAACUAUGGGAAACGAUAGCUAAUACCGCAUAACAAUGGAUGACACAUGUCAUUUAUUUGAAAGGGGCAAUUGCUCCACUACAAGAUGGACCUGCGUUGUAUUAGCUAGUAGGUGAGGUAAUGGCUCACCUAGGCGACGAUACAUAGCCGACCUGAGAGGGUGGUCGGCCACACUGGGACUGGGACACGGCCCAGACUCCUACGGGAGGCAGCAGUAGGGAAUCUUCGGCAAUGGGGCCAACCCUGACCGAGCAACGCCGCGGGAGGGAAGAAGGGUUUCGGAUCGGAAAGCUCUGUUUUAAGUCAAGAACGGGUGUGAGAGUGGAAAGUUCACACUGUGACGGUAGCUUAUCAGAAAGGGACGGCUAACUACGUG
RNAcentral lists this ribosomal RNA (497 nucleotides) under uncultured bacterium. RNAcentral describes it as "partial 16S ribosomal RNA". It matches the Rfam family "Bacterial small subunit ribosomal RNA", at positions 28 to 507 of the family's 1533-position model. The record is from RNAcentral.